Molecule: ribosomal RNA, 253 nt
Filed under: uncultured bacterium
Lineage: Bacteria
Description: partial 16S ribosomal RNA
Rfam family: Bacterial small subunit ribosomal RNA
Source: RNAcentral
UACGUAGGGUGCAAGCGUUGUCCGGAAUUAUUGGGCGUAAAGAGCUCGUAGGCGGUCUGUCGCGUCGGCUGUGAAAACUCGGGGCUCAACCCCGAGCCUGCAGUCGAUACGGGCAGACUAGAGUGCUGUAGGGGAGACUGGAAUUCCUGGUGUAGCGGUGAAAUGCGCAGAUAUCAGGAGGAACACCGGUGGCGAAGGCGACUACCUGGCCUGUUCUUGACGCUGAGGCGCGAAAGCUAGGGGAGCAAACGGG